RNAcentral lists this ribosomal RNA (449 nucleotides) under uncultured bacterium. RNAcentral's name for it is "bacterial SSU rRNA". It matches the Rfam family "Bacterial small subunit ribosomal RNA", at positions 29 to 524 of the family's 1533-position model. The record is from RNAcentral.
AACGAACGCUGGCGGCAGGCUUAACACAUGCAAGUCGAACGCUCGUAGCAAUACGGGAGUGGCGGACGGGUGAGUAACGCGUGGGAACGUGCCCUGAGGUACGGAAUAACUGAGGGAAACUUCAGCUAAUACCGUAUGAGCCCGAGAGGGGAAAGAUUUAUCGCCUUGGGAGCGGCCCGCGUCGGAUUAGCUAGUUGGUGGGGUAACGGCCUACCAAGGCUUCGAUCCGUAGCUGGUCUGAGAGGACGAUCAGCCACACUGGGACUGAGACACGGCCCAGACUCCUACGGGAGGCAGCAGUGGGGAAUCUUGCGCAAUGGGGGCAACCCUGACGCAGCCAUGCCGCGUGAACGAUGAAGGCCUUAGGGUGUAAAGUUCUUUACCCGUGACGAUGAUGACGGUAACGGGGAAUAAGCUCCGGCUAACUUCGUGCCAGCAGCCGCGGUAAU